AUCUGNGACCGGCGCACGGGUGCGUAACGCGUAUGCAAUCUACCUUUUACUAUGGGAUAGCCCAGAGAAAUUUGGAUUAAUACCAUAUAGUAUAUUUGAAUGGCAUCGUUUGAAUAUUAAAGAUUUAUCGGUAAAAGAUGAGCAUGCGUCCCAUUAGUUAGUUGGUGUGGCAACGGCAUACCAAGACGAUGAUGGGUAGGGGUCCUGAGAGGGAGAUCCCCCACACUGGUACUGAGACACGGACCAGACUCCUACGGGAGGCAGCAGUGAGGAAUAUUGGUCAAUGGAGGCAACUCUGAACCAGCCAUGCCGCGUGCAGGAUGACGGUCCUAUGGAUUGUAAACUGCUUUUGUACGGGAAGAAAACAAACUACGAGUAGUUAAUUGACGGUACCGUAAGAAUAAGGAUCGGCUAACUCCGUGCCAGCAGCCGCGGUAAUACGGAGGAUCCAAGCGUUAUCCGGAAUCAUUGGGUUUAAAGGGUCCGUAGGCGGCCUUAUAAGUCAGUGGUGGAAGUUUUUGGCUUAACCAAAAAAUUGCCAUUGAUACUGUAGGGCUUGAAUAUCUGUGAAGUAACUAGAAUAUGUAGUGUAGCGGUGAAAUGCUUAGAUAUUACAUGGAAUACCGAUUGCGAAGGCAGGUUACUAACAGAUGAUUGACGCUGAUGGACGAAAGCGUGGGUAGCGAACAGGAUUAGAUACCCUGGUAGUCCACGCCGUAAACGAUGGAUACUAGCUGUUUGGUUUUCGGACUGAGUGGCUAAGCGAAAGUGACAAGUAUCCCACCUGGGGAGUACGGUCGCAAGACUGAAACUCAAAGGAAUUGACGGGGGCCCGCACAAGCGGUGGAGCAUGUGGUUUAAUUCGAUGAUACGCGAGGAACCUUACCAGGGCUUAAAUGUAGAUUGACAGAUUUGGAAACAGAUUUUUCUUCGGACAAUUUACAAGGUGCUGCAUGGUUGUCGUCAGCUCGUGCCGUGAGGUGUCAGGUUAAGUCCUAUANCGAGCGCAACCCCUGUUGUUAGUUGCCAGCACGUAAUGGUGGGAACUCUACCAAGACUGCCAGUGUAACUGUGANGAAGGUGGGGAUGACGUCAAAUCAUCACGGCCCUUACGUCCUGGGCCCACACGUGCUACANUGGCCGGUACAGAGAGCACCCCUUGGCGACAAGGAGCGAACUUUAAAGGCCGGCCCAGU
Molecule: ribosomal RNA, 1196 nt
Filed under: uncultured Myroides sp.
Lineage: Bacteria; Pseudomonadati; Bacteroidota; Flavobacteriia; Flavobacteriales; Flavobacteriaceae
Description: bacterial SSU rRNA
Rfam family: Bacterial small subunit ribosomal RNA
Source: RNAcentral